RNAcentral lists this ribosomal RNA (440 nucleotides) under uncultured bacterium. RNAcentral describes it as "partial 16S ribosomal RNA". It matches the Rfam family "Bacterial small subunit ribosomal RNA", at positions 338 to 795 of the family's 1533-position model. The record is from RNAcentral.
CCUACGGGUGGCAGCAGUGGGGAAUAUUGCACAAUGGGGGAAACCCUGAUGCAGCGAAGUCGCGUGAGGGAAGAAGUACUUAGUGAUGUAAAGCUCUAUCAGCAGGGAAGAAAAUGACGGUACCUGAGUAAGAAGCCCCGGCUAACUACGUGCCAGCAGCCGCGAGAAUACGUCGGGGGCAAGCGUUAUCCGGAUUUACUGGGUGUGAAGGGAGCGUAGACGGCAGUGCAAGUCUGGAGUGAAAGGCGGGGGCUCAACCCCCGGACUGCUCUGGAAACUGUACGGCUGGAGUGCAGGAGAGGUAAGUGGAAUGCCUAGUGUAGCGGUGAAAUGCGGAGAUAUUAGGAGGAACACCAGUGGCGAAGGCGGCUUACUGGACUGUAACUGACGUUGAGGCUCGAAAGCGUGGGGAGCAAACAGGAUUAGAUACCCCGGUAGUC